This 515-nucleotide ribosomal RNA is filed under the name uncultured bacterium. RNAcentral describes it as "bacterial SSU rRNA". It matches the Rfam family "Bacterial small subunit ribosomal RNA", at positions 40 to 518 of the family's 1533-position model. The record is from RNAcentral.
CGGCGCACAUAAGACAUGCAAGUCGAACGAAAGUCGUUAUACUGAAUUUGAAAUGAACUGUGAACUUGUUCAGAGGGACUAGAUGAUGAUUAUAACAAUGGCUUUAGUGGCGGACUGGUGAGUAACGCGUAGGUAACCUGCCUAACAGAGGGGAAUAACAGUGAGAAAUCAUUGCUAAUACCGCAUAUGCUCACAGUACCACAUGGUACAGUGAGGAAAGGAGUAAUCCGCUGAUAGAUGGGCCUGCGUCUGAUUAGCUAGUUGGUUAGGUAAAAGCUGACCAAGGCAACGAUCAGUAGCCGGACUGAGAGGUUAAACGGCCACAUUGGGACUGAGAUACGGCCCAGACUCCUACGGGAGGCAGCAGUCGGGAAUAUUGCGCAAUGGAGGAAACUCCUGACGCAGUGACGCCGCGUAUAGGAAGAAGGUUUUCGGAUUGUAAACUAUUGUCGUUAGGGAAGAUAAAAGACAGUACCUAAGGAGGAAGCCCCGGCUAACUAUGUGCCAGCAGCUGC